UCGCCUGUUUAUCAAAAACAUAGCCUUAAGUUUGAUUUUAGGUUUAGUCUGCCCAGUGUGUAUCAUCAACGGCCGCAGUACCUUGACUGUGCUAAGGUAGCAUAAUCAGUUGACUUUUAAUUGGAGUCUGGAAUGAACGGAUAAAUGGGGACAAGCUGUCUCCUCUGGGUUUUAUUGAACUUACUUUUGAGGUGAAAAAGCCUUAAUUUAUUAAAAAGACGAGAAGACCCCAGGACCUUGGAUAUAUUUUGUUGGGGCGACAAGGGAAGAAUUUAGUAUCUUCCUAUGAAAAAUUUUUCUACAUGACGAGAAUUAAGAAAGAUUAAGGUACCCUGGGGAUAACAGCAUAAUUUAUUAUUUAAGAUUGUGACCUCGAUGUUGGACUAGGAAUCUGAAUAGGUGAGCAACCCUUUCAAUGGUUCUGUUCGAACUUUAUAUCCUACGUGAUCUGAGUUCAGACCGGA
This 464-nucleotide ribosomal RNA is filed under the name Rictaxis punctocaelatus. RNAcentral describes it as "partial 16S ribosomal RNA". It matches the Rfam family "Archaeal large subunit ribosomal RNA", at positions 1888 to 2689 of the family's 2987-position model. Lineage: Eukaryota; Metazoa; Mollusca; Gastropoda; Acteonidae. The record is from RNAcentral.